This is a long non-coding RNA of Pseudopipra pipra, 346 nucleotides long. RefSeq lists it as uncharacterized. Lineage: Eukaryota; Metazoa; Chordata; Aves; Passeriformes; Pipridae. The record is from RefSeq and is a predicted model, not a curated record. The transcript has 3 exons.
CAAAGAAGUCUUUCUCUCCAACUUCUCAAAGGCUUAUGGCUUCCUAAAAACAAGUGAAUCUUUCAGCAUUCCACAGCUGAUUUAAAGCAUCAAAUGCCUGUGAAACAGCAAAGAUGUUGCAGGGUGAUAACUUCCAGAAGAUACCACUGGAAUAAUGCUGGUUCAUUUGCGAUGAUGGCAGAGAUGAGUGGUGCCUGUGCCAGUGCAUAAGUUACGGUGACUAGAAGGUGGCAGUGCAGCAGUGGAUAUGCGUUGGAAAAUGGAAGGAUAACAAAACACAACUGCUACAGCCUGGAUUUUGAGUGUGGUGUUGCCCACCAUUGGUUCUAGAGGGUUGUGUUAGCAU